RNAcentral lists this transfer RNA (56 nucleotides) under Caenorhabditis briggsae. RNAcentral describes it as "tRNA-Leu". Lineage: Eukaryota; Metazoa; Nematoda; Chromadorea; Rhabditida; Rhabditidae. The record is from RNAcentral.
ACAUGUUUAGUAUAAGUUAAUACAUUAGAUUUAGGUUCUAAAAAUUAUAAUAUGUU